Molecule: ribosomal RNA, 457 nt
Filed under: uncultured Sphingobacteriales bacterium
Lineage: Bacteria; Pseudomonadati; Bacteroidota; Sphingobacteriia; Sphingobacteriales
Description: bacterial SSU rRNA
Rfam family: Bacterial small subunit ribosomal RNA
Source: RNAcentral
GCACAAGCGGAGGAGCAUGUGGUUAAUUCGAUGAUACGCGAGGAACCUUACCUGGGCUCGAACGUAAGAUGACUGUAGGUGAAAGCUUACAUCUCUUCGGAGCAUUUUACGGGGUGCUGCAUGGUUGUCGUCAGCUCGUGCCGUGAGGUGUCGGGUUAAGUCCCAUAACGAGCGCAACCCUACCUUUAGUUGCCAUCAGGUAAUGCUGGGGACUCUAAAGGAACUGCCUACGCAAGUAGUGAGGAAGGCGGGGAUGACGUCAAAUCAGCACGGCCCUUACGUCCAGGGCUACACACGUGCUACAAUGGCCGAUACAGAGGGCAGCUACCUGGUGACAGGAUGCAAAUCUCCAAAGUCGGUCUCAGUUCGGAUCGGAGUCUGCAACCCGACUCCGUGAAGUUGGAUUCGCUAGUAAUCGCGCAUCAGCCAUGGCGCGGUGAAUACGUUCCCGGGCCUU